AUGGUUCUUUCCCAGACUUCCCCACUGCUCUCCACAGAAAUGCCGUCACAUUCCCCGUCUGCUUCAGGCCAAGCGGUCUCCAACUCAAACAUUUUGGAAACACUGUCCAAUGAAACAGCCAACAGGACUCAAGUUUUCUGCUGGGAAAAAAUGGAAAGAACAUAAAAACGUCAUUCCUCGCUGGACAUGGAAAGGACUCUCAGGAAAUGGGAAAAGGGCUCAAUAGAAAUUAUCCUAAAAACAACAGAAGCAGAGGGCAGCUUUAAGACCCCACGGAGAGAAAGCUCAAGGCGGGUUACAUCACUAUGUGCUAAAACACAUAAUCGAAACAUAAUCAUUUAAAAAGUGUAAAACACAAGACGAAUUAUGUCAAAGAGGAUUUAUUCUUACGCUGCAAGGGCACAGGAC
Long non-coding RNA from Anolis carolinensis (green anole), 408 nucleotides. RefSeq lists it as uncharacterized. The transcript is spliced from 3 exons. NCBI's taxonomy places the organism in Eukaryota, Metazoa, Chordata, Lepidosauria, Squamata, Anolidae. The record is from RefSeq and is a predicted model, not a curated record.